Molecule: ribosomal RNA, 382 nt
Filed under: uncultured eukaryote
Lineage: Eukaryota
Description: partial 18S ribosomal RNA
Rfam family: Eukaryotic small subunit ribosomal RNA
Source: RNAcentral
CAAUAGCGUAUAUUAAAGUUGUUGCAGUUAAAAAGCUCGUAGUUGGAUUUCUGGUUGAAGCGACCGGUCGGGCGUUGAUUCGUCUGCACUGGAGUCGGUUUUGGCCAUCCUCUAGGAAAGUGCGUCUGGUAUUAAGUUAUCGGGCGUAUGAUCCUGGUCUUUUACUGUGAAAAAAUUAGAGUGUUUAAAGCAGGCCUUCGCCUUGAAUACAUUAGCAUGGAAUAAUAAGAUAGGACUUUGGUCUAUUUUGUUGGUUUGCAGACCGAAGUAAUGACUAAUAGGGAUAGUUGGGGGUAUUUAUAUUCCGAUGUCAGAGGUGAAAUUCUUAGAUUUUCGGAAGAUAAACUUAUGCGAAAGCAUUUACCAAGGAUGUUUUCAUUAA